GCGGUGGAGCAUGUGGUUUAAUUCGAAGCAACGCGAAGAACCUUACCAGGCCUUGACAUGCAGAGAACUUUCCAGAGAUGGAUUGGUGCCUUCGGGAACUCUGACACAGGUGCUGCAUGGCUGUCGUCAGCUCGUGUCGUGAGAUGGUUGGGUUAACGUCCCGUAACGAGCGCAACCCUUGUCCUUAGUUACCAGCACGUUAUGGUGGGCACUCUAAGGAGGCUGCCGGUGACAAACCGGAGGAAGGUGGGGAUGACGUCAAGUCAUCAUGGCCCUUACGGCCUGGGCUACACACGUGCUACAAUGGUCGGUACAAAGGGUUGCCAAGCCGCGAGGUGGAGCUAAUCCCAUAAAACCGAUCGUAGUCCGGAUCGCAGUCUGCAACUCGACUGCGUGAAGUCGGAAUCGCUAGUAAUCGUGAAUCAGAAUGUCACGGUGAAUACGUUCCCGGGCCUU
This 456-nucleotide ribosomal RNA is filed under the name uncultured Pseudomonas sp. RNAcentral's name for it is "bacterial SSU rRNA". It matches the Rfam family "Bacterial small subunit ribosomal RNA", at positions 929 to 1382 of the family's 1533-position model. Lineage: Bacteria; Pseudomonadati; Pseudomonadota; Gammaproteobacteria; Pseudomonadales; Pseudomonadaceae. The record is from RNAcentral.